GCCUCCCCCAUUUUUCUUUUCCUUCACCCCGAACCUCACGCUCCAAACCUUAUCCCCUUUCUCCAGAUCCACAACACACACCGCCGCCCUAGGUGCCCUCUCCGGCCGGCCGCGGCGCUACGUGUCCAGCGAGGCUGCCACCACUCUAUUCCCCUCUUCCUCCCACCCCUCCAUCGUUAUCCCCACAUGGCCGCCAUUUUCCCACGCCUAGGUGGGCUUGUGUCGGCGCUGCCAUCACACAGGUGCCAACGGCGGUGCUUUUUGUUCUUACGCAAGCGCCCGGUGAUGCCACCUCUCACCUCUCUCUCAUGGCUCCACCGCCCCAACCCAGACCAGCUAGAUCUAUGUGGGACAACGUCCCUUCACUCCCAGUGGUCAGGUCCAAGGCACCCAUCCCCUGCUUCCUCUGCUUCGGGUGAUUAGGAGCUUGGUGGUAGGUGCCCCAGUCUCUCCCCACUUUAGGAUAACAGGAGCUAGCCAUACAUGGCAGAAACAACAUCGGGAAAUGAAUCUUUAGUAUGUUUGGGCAAAAAGGCCACCGGAAGAUGUCCAUAAGUCAUAUGCAUGCAUCACAUCGACUUGGUGCUUCUACUAUUUACUCUCUGAAGAACCUCUAUCACAAGAAUUCUUCUAUGGGGCGUCUGAACAAAAGGGGCAUCUUCGUCAUCCGGUCACUAAGGUAGUGGAGCAAGAUUUCUUAUAUCUGGGUGAGGGCAUCAAUCAAUCUUGGGGCAAGGAAUCUCAUCACUGCAAUAUAUAGCUACCACAUUGGACCAGGCGCGUUUAUCUUGAGCGUAGCUAGAUGGAAAAACAUCUUUCCUGAGCUGGCAUGUGAAGGAAGGAAACAAAAGGAUGACACUCACACGGAACCAUGAAGCCAACAAUCUACGUCAACUAGAUGUUUUAGAUUUCAUUUUGUACAACUGAUGUCUCAUCCUUGCAUCUUUUACCUGUCCUUUUGUGAACCUGAUGUAUGGUGUCUCGGUGGUUGUGUUUAGAACAGACUGAAGUGUAUGUAUGUGACAAAUGGUUAAUGGAAUAAAAAAAUGUUUGGUGCACCUGAUGUGAGCCUGAUGUAUGGUGUCUUUGUGAUUAUACUUAGAACACAUGAACUAUAUGUAUGUAACAAACAAUAGCAUACUUUAAAUAAAGUUGUGGUUGG
This 1162-nucleotide ribosomal RNA is filed under the name Triticum aestivum (bread wheat). RNAcentral describes it as "partial small subunit ribosomal RNA". The record is from RNAcentral. Lineage: Eukaryota; Viridiplantae; Streptophyta; Magnoliopsida; Poales; Poaceae.